Molecule: ribosomal RNA, 428 nt
Filed under: uncultured Clavulina
Lineage: Eukaryota; Fungi; Basidiomycota; Agaricomycetes; Cantharellales; Hydnaceae
Description: eukaryotic LSU rRNA
Rfam family: 5.8S ribosomal RNA (bases 117-270)
Source: RNAcentral
GAGGGAGUUUCGAGUUUUAUUGCCGUUUUUGGUGAUUUUCUUGUAUUCCCUUGAAUUAUUAUACGCUGUUAACAAUGAUGAACGUGCUCUGUGCCGCAAGGCCAUUAAUAUAAUACAACUUUUAACAACGGAUCUCUUGGCUCUCGCAUCGAUGAAGAACGCAGCGAAAUGCGAUAAGUAAUGUGAAUUGCAGAAUUCAGUGAAUCAUCGAAUCUUUGAACGCACCUUGCGCUCCCUGGUAUUCCGGGGAGCACGCCUGUUCGAGUGUCGCGAAAUUUCUCAAGCUUGGAUGGCCUUUUUGUCUGUCCUUAGCCUUGGUUGUUGGGCUUUGCCGUGUCCUUUGUUGGGACGGCUGGCCUUAAAAGCAUUAGCUGAUCCUCGUGUGGCACUGGUUCUACUCAGCGUGAUAACAGUCUGAUCGCUGAGGA